CAGGCUCUCAUCUUGAGACAGAGGCUUGAUAUUACAUAGAGACUUCUGGAAUGCCUAUUUUUGUCUUUAAAAGUUUGAGUUUUUGCUCUUAAUAGUAUGUGUUGAGAGAUCCUGUUUGUAGGUAAGACAAAAGAUUUUCAUCUCUCUCAAACAGGAGAAUAAAACAAACUGACGUCUACAGGAACGCAGUACAGGCAGAGCUGUCAAAUAAAAGGGCAACAGCAUUACCAGCUCAUGCAGUAGUGGAUGGACAUACCUCUAUACUGCUAAACUGAUGUGCAAGGGCAGGCUUUGACACAGGACCCGGAUUUGGUCUGUCUGCCUGGGUGUUGGCCCACUCCACAGAUCAGUUUUGGUCUGCUUCCACUGGUCAUCUCCAGCUGAAAUUUGCCGUAAAGGAAACUAGCCCUAAGGAGUGUAGGUGUGUACCAGUUAGUGUUCAUGUCUCUCUUUCAUUUAGCAGUGCUGUAUAUAACCACAGUGACUCUAACCCUUUUCUAAAUACUCUGUUUUCCCCAGGACACUCUUUCUAAGCUACAACUCAUAAUUAUGGCUCCUUCCUUCACCAUGCAGCUGUCCAAGUAACAUGUUUUUAUGAGGCUGAGACCAGUACAUCAGCUGCAGUCUACUUCAUCAUGAAGCAGAAUGUGGUUCACAGGAAAUACUAUCGGACAGAAGAUAAAAUUCAAGAAAAUACGAUAUUUUGGUCAUGCCUACAAUUGAAAUCUAAUGAAAAUGUUCACUUAUUUAGAAUAAAAACUCAUUAAAUAACAUUUUGUAGUUUAACGAAAUAAUUUUUAUUUUUUUAAUAUAGUUAAUACUAUGAAGUCUUCCUAAAAUUGUCUGAAGUUGAAACACCCUUUUAAAAUGGAGAGAAAGUAAUAAAGAAAAUAUAUGCAUCUACUUGCUUGACUGUGUUAGAGGAGUGCCUAGUGACCCUAAAAACACUAAAACUUGUCCAAAAUAUAUUAUUUGUUAUAUUAUUAAAUUGAUGUGCAAUGACCCUGUGAGCCAACACCUGGGGUUUUGGGUGCU
Molecule: long non-coding RNA, 1035 nt
Filed under: Taeniopygia guttata (zebra finch)
Lineage: Eukaryota; Metazoa; Chordata; Aves; Passeriformes; Estrildidae
Description: lncRNA (ENSTGUG00000019228.1)
Source: RNAcentral